Molecule: ribosomal RNA, 253 nt
Filed under: uncultured bacterium
Lineage: Bacteria
Description: partial 16S ribosomal RNA
Rfam family: Bacterial small subunit ribosomal RNA
Source: RNAcentral
UACGUAGGUGACAAGCGUUGUCCGGAUUUACUGGGCGUAAAGAGCGCGCAGGCGGUCGUUCAAGUCGAGUGUGAAAGCCCCCGGCUCAACUGGGGAGGGUCAUUCGAUACUGAUCGACUCGAAGGCAGGAGAGGGUAGUGGAAUUCCCGGUGUAGUGGUGAAAUGCGCAGAUAUCAGGAGGAACACCAAUGGCGAAGGCAGCUCGCUGGAACGGUACUGACGCUGAGGCGCGAAAGCGUGGGGAGCAAACAGG